UACACUCCUACGGGAGGCAGCAGUGGGGAAUAUUGCACAAUGGGCGCAAGCCUGAUGCAGCCAUGCCGCGUGUAUGAAGAAGGCCUUCGGGUUGUAAAGUACUUUCAGCGGGGAGGAAGGCGAUAAGGUUAAUAACCUUGUUGAUUGACGUUACCCGCAGAAGAAGCACCGGCUAACCCCGUGCCAGCAGCCGCGGUAAUACGGAGGGUGCAAGCGUUAAUCGGAAUUACUGGGCGUAAAGCGCACGCAGGCGGUCUGUCAAGUCGGAUGUGAAAUCCCCGGGCUCAACCGGGGAACUGCAUUCGAAACUGGCAGGCUAGAGUCUUGUAGAGGGGGGUAGAAUUCCAGGUGUAGCGGUGAAAUGCGUAGAGAUCUGGAGGAAUACCGGUGGCGAAGGCGGCCCCCUGGACAAAGACUGACGCUCAGGUGCGAAAGCGUGGGGAGCAAACAGGAUUAGAAACCCCUGUAGUCCCAUG
Molecule: ribosomal RNA, 476 nt
Filed under: uncultured organism
Description: partial 16S ribosomal RNA
Rfam family: Bacterial small subunit ribosomal RNA
Source: RNAcentral